RNAcentral lists this ribosomal RNA (468 nucleotides) under uncultured bacterium. RNAcentral's name for it is "partial 16S ribosomal RNA". It matches the Rfam family "Bacterial small subunit ribosomal RNA", at positions 28 to 507 of the family's 1533-position model. The record is from RNAcentral.
GACGAACGCUGGCGGCGUGCUUAACACAUGCAAGUCGAACGGAAAGGCCCUGCUUUUGUGGGGUGCUCGAGUGGCGAACGGGUGAGUAACACGUGAGUAACCUGCCCUUGACUUUGGGAUAACUUCAGGAAACUGGGGCUAAUACCGGAUAGGAGCUCCUGUUGCAUGGUGGGGGUUGGAAAGUUUCGGCGGUUGGGGAUGGCAGCGCGGCUUUUCAGCUUGUUGGUGGGGUAGUGGCGUAACAAGGCUUUGACGGGUAGCCGGCCUGAGAGGGUGACCGGCCACAUUGGGACUGAGAGAGGGCCCAGAGUCCUACGGGAGGCAGAAGUGGGGAAUAUUGCACAAUGGGCGGAAGCCUGAUGCAGCAACGCCGCGUGCGGGAUGACGGCCUUCGGGUUGUAAACCGCUUUCGCCUGUGACGAAGCGUGAGUGACGGUAAUGGGUAAAGAAGCACCGGCUAACUACGUG